CUCAAUUAUGUGCACACUUGGGCCUACCAAUUUGGACUCAAUUCGGGUUUUUUUUCUUUUUCUUUCCUUCAUUUCAAUGGCAUCUUCAGCAACAAAUUUCUGCUUUCAAUGUGAAGAUUCAACAAACUCAGUUACCUUUAGAAAUGGUUGGCGUCUUCGUAGUGGCAAAUUCGCUCAGCUCUGUCAUCGUUGCGCAUCCGUAUAUGAGUACGGGAGGUUCUGUGAGACUUUCCAUUCAAAUGAUGAUGGCUGGAGAGACUGUGAGUCUUGUGGGAAGUUGGUCCAUUGUGGAUGUAUUGCGUCUUUCAACACAUAUCUGCUAUUGGAUUUUGGUGGAAUUAUGUGCAUGGAGUGCUCAAAGAAGAAUAUUAUUCUUGCACGGGAUCGUUGCUUGUCCGACGAAACUCCAGUAUCAACUGGAGAAUCUCGGGUGGAUGCCGCACAGACUGUGGUAGAACCUCAGUAUAGGCCUCGUGUAACAGAGAGAGAGUUGAAGAAGAUCUCCAUAAACUGUAGGUGUGUUGUCACCCCUUUGUUUCAAAAAUUGUUGUCUGCCAGUGAUGCUGAUCUCACACUAUCACGUCUUGUGAUUCCCAAAAAGUGUGCUGAGGCUUUCUUUCCUUGCCUUUCUGGGCCACACAGGAUCCCCAUUAAUAUGCUCGAUACUGAAGGCAAGGAAUGGAAUUUUCACUUCCGCUUUUGGCCUAAUUCUAGGAGUAAAAUGUAUGUGCUGGAAGGACUUAGAGAUUACAUGGUCUUGAAGAGGUGGCAAGCAGGCGAUUUUGUUACUUUUUAUCGAAUUGAACCGGGACAGAAAUUGGUCAUGGGAUUAAGGAAUUCUUCUACCACCUCAUAGCUCAGAGGCGGUGGACUUUAUGGGUUCGGGAUACAACUGAACCCACUCAACUUUUGAGUUACUGGAUUCGGUAUUUUAAAUUUGUACAUAUUUAGUAGAUUUCUUAACGGAUAUACAUGGUUUGAGCUAAAGCUACGGGUUCGGCUGAACCUGUACUUACCUUGUACAUCCGCCCCUGGGUGAACUGUACUUAUUUAUAUAAAAUGGCUGACAAUGUGCUGCAAUGGUAUGAAAGAUACCAACAAUGUGGAUCUCAGCUUGAUGUCCUUGAAUAUGACUGGUUACAGCAGAGGCGGAUCUACAUGCAAUUUAUGAGGUUCACGCAAUAGCUUUUACCUAGACCCUGAAUACAUAUUAAAAAAUUCACAAAAUAUCUAUAAAUAUUUGACUGUAAACCUAGUUAUUAUUGUAUAUUAACUUUUUUCGAUGAAGGAUUAAUGUAUAUUAACUUUUUUUGAUGAAGGAUUAUUUUAUAUUAAAUUGAGGUCGCUGCGAGGAUUGAUAUAGUUGAUCCCAAUUUGUUUGGGAAUUGAGGUGUAGACCGUAGUUGUUGUUGUUAUUGACUUGUUGUAAAUUGAGGUUGAUGUAGGAACUCAUAACUUCAAAUUCAGGAUUUGCCUUUUGACUCC
Molecule: RNA transcript, 1485 nt
Organism: Lycium barbarum (goji berry)
Lineage: Eukaryota; Viridiplantae; Streptophyta; Magnoliopsida; Solanales; Solanaceae
Gene name: B3 domain-containing protein Os07g0563300-like
Exons: 10
Source: RefSeq, a predicted model, not a curated record